RNAcentral lists this transfer RNA (81 nucleotides) under Cereibacter ovatus. RNAcentral's name for it is "Rhodobacter ovatus tRNA". It matches the Rfam family "tRNA". Rfam says of the family: Transfer RNA (tRNA) molecules are approximately 80 nucleotides in length. Their secondary structure includes four short double-helical elements and three loops (D, anti-codon, and T loops). Lineage: Bacteria; Pseudomonadati; Pseudomonadota; Alphaproteobacteria; Rhodobacterales; Paracoccaceae. The record is from Rfam by way of RNAcentral.
GCGGGUGUGGCGGAAUGGUAGACGCAGAGGUCUCAAACACCUCCUCCUCACGGAAUGUCGGUUCGAGUCCGACCACCCGCA